GGCUUGUUUAGCCUGGAGAAGAGAAGGCUCCAGGGAAACUUCAUUGUGGCCUUUCAAGACAUAAAGAGAGCUUACAACAAAGAUGAAGAUUUUUUACCAGGGCCUCUUGUGACAGGUCAAGGGGAAACAAUUUUACUCUGAAAGAAGGUAGAUGUAAUUGAAUAUAAGGAAGAAAUAUUUUGUGAAAAGGGUGAACAGGCACUGGAACAGGUUGUUUAGAGAAACUGUGGAUGUCCCAUCCCUGGAAGCAUGCAAGGUCAGGCUGGAUAGGAUCCUGGGUAGGCUGAUCUGAAGGGUGGCAGCCCUGCCCACAGCACAUGGUUGAAACUAGAUAUCUUUAAGGUUCCUUCCAAUCCUCUGGCAAAGGGAAUAUUUAAAUGUAUUAUCAGCUUUAUUAUUUCAACUUUCCAUUUAAUACCUGAGUUGUGUUGCCUUGUUCAUUGCAAUCUAACUUUAACUAAUAGGAGUUUUUUUGUUGUUAUUGGAUUGCUUUUUUUUUUUUUUUUUUUUUUU
RNAcentral lists this long non-coding RNA (513 nucleotides) under Gallus gallus (chicken). Lineage: Eukaryota; Metazoa; Chordata; Aves; Galliformes; Phasianidae. The record is from RNAcentral.